Ctenocephalides felis (cat flea) is the source of this 323-nucleotide long non-coding RNA. RefSeq lists it as uncharacterized. The record is from RefSeq and is a predicted model, not a curated record. NCBI's taxonomy places the organism in Eukaryota, Metazoa, Arthropoda, Insecta, Siphonaptera, Pulicidae. The transcript has 3 exons.
UUUGUAAUCUAUGUCGUGUUGUGAAUCACUUUGCAUUAUUUUCAACCAUGUGUUUUUAUUAUGUCAAUUUGAUUCUGUUUAAAUUCAGUGUUUUAAUGUAUGAUUAAUGACCUAAAUCGCUGAUAAAAUUAUUUGCAGGCUUUCGAUGUCAAAGAAACACUAAUUAGGAGAUGAAAGGUUAUGUGAAUUUUUACUGUACAAAAUCGUUCUAUAUUUUAUGGCGGUACGAAGUAACUUGGGCAAUAGAUUGCUAAUGGAAAUUGUGAGCAGAAUGUUGAAUUUGUAUUGCAAGGACACACUUAUUUCGAUAUGAAUGACGACGG